UAGGGGGAGGGGGGAGUGAGCGGCGAAGGAACUUUUUAUCUUGAAUAUUAUAUAAGUAUAUAUAUAUAUAUAACUAGAUAGAUUUAUGUGAGAGAUAGAAAAAAUAUUUUUUUGUUGUUUAAUUUUAGAUGUAGAUAUGUAGAUAGAUAGAUUUAAUUUAUGAUGAAAUCACAUUGUAUAAAGCAAUAGCUCUAAAUAUAGAUAUAU
RNAcentral lists this long non-coding RNA (207 nucleotides) under Sorghum bicolor (sorghum). RNAcentral describes it as "long non-coding RNA (SBIC_LNC003441)". Lineage: Eukaryota; Viridiplantae; Streptophyta; Magnoliopsida; Poales; Poaceae. The record is from RNAcentral.